This 18-nucleotide small nuclear RNA is filed under the name Arabidopsis thaliana (thale cress). RNAcentral's name for it is "snRNA_07445". Lineage: Eukaryota; Viridiplantae; Streptophyta; Magnoliopsida; Brassicales; Brassicaceae. The record is from RNAcentral.
AAAGAGAGUCAAAGAGUG